Aedes aegypti (yellow fever mosquito) is the source of this 240-nucleotide long non-coding RNA. RefSeq lists it as uncharacterized. NCBI's taxonomy places the organism in Eukaryota, Metazoa, Arthropoda, Insecta, Diptera, Culicidae. The record is from RefSeq and is a predicted model, not a curated record. The transcript is spliced from 2 exons.
UGGAUUGGCGUUCGCUAAUGGAUCAUAGGAAGUACCAACAAGGGCUAUCACCUUUGAAAAAUAGAUCAUUAUGUCAAAAAGUUUAAUUUGCCUCCGUUAAGUGAAUGUCCCACCCAUUCACUGGGCCCAAUUAAUGACAAGCCCACCUGAAGAUAGAGCAUCGAACAAAAUUCCACGGUAUACAAAUUGAUGCGUUUACUAAAACUUUGUACAACUAAAAACAUUUGAAGAUUCUAUUCU